This 253-nucleotide ribosomal RNA is filed under the name uncultured bacterium. RNAcentral's name for it is "partial 16S ribosomal RNA". It matches the Rfam family "Bacterial small subunit ribosomal RNA", at positions 524 to 776 of the family's 1533-position model. The record is from RNAcentral.
UACAGAGGUCCCGAGCGUUGUUCGGAUUCAUUGGGCGUAAAGGGUGCGUAGGCGGCGGGGCAAGUCUGAUGUGAAAUCCCGGGGCUCAACCCCGGAACUGCAUUGGAUACUGCUUUGCUAGAGUACUGGAGAGGGAACUGGAAUUUACGGUGUAGCAGUGAAAUGCGUAGAGAUCGUAAGGAAGGCCAGUGGCGAAGGCGAGUUCCUGGACAGUUACUGACGCUGAGGCACGAAGGCCAGGGGAGCAAACGGG